Long non-coding RNA from Neofelis nebulosa (Clouded leopard), 640 nucleotides. RefSeq lists it as uncharacterized. The transcript is spliced from 3 exons. NCBI's taxonomy places the organism in Eukaryota, Metazoa, Chordata, Mammalia, Carnivora, Felidae. The record is from RefSeq and is a predicted model, not a curated record.
UGUUCGUGGCCAAACCAGGGAACUGGGGAUGGGUUGACCCACACCAGCUCCAGGGUCUUGCUCACUUCCCAUAGAAGAUACCAACCAUGGGGUAGCCGCAUCUUAUCAGCUCUUCCGAGGGGACCACGGUGCAGUCAACAGCAAGAUGGCGUAGUCCUGGUUGUCCCUGUGUCAGAUCCACAGGAGUUUGCAAGCACGAGACUCUAGUUGGCUCGUCCUGGGUCAUUCAUUCAGCAUUUACUAACCCACCCACAGAACACGCUGAACCCAGGCGGCAGGACGAGGAGAAUUUGCUGGAACCACCACUGAAAAAAACCCUCACGUAAGGGACUGAUGGUCUGGGAACCCUCUAGUUAUAAAAUAUGAAGGGAAAAAAAAACCUUAGCAAUUUCAGCUUCAAGAAAGGUCACUCUUAGGAGAUCAGGCUACAUUCCUGCCGAGUUGAAAUGAGUCAUCGUAAGUGCCCUUCAAGUGCCAGCUAGGAGGGUAAUGAACUUGCAACUUACCAAUAUUGCUGAAACACACACACACACACACACGCACGCAGACGCACCCAAGCACACACGCACGCAAGCACACACGCACACGCAAGCACUCGCACAGACUCGCGCGCACACACACACACACACGCACACAGACG